GAUGUUUCUCAGUGUUAGUGCAGCCAAUGGACUGCAGAUUUCCCAACUCUCUGAGCACUUCAGCUGCUUUCAGCAACUUCACAUUCACAUUCCAGUAAUGGGAGACAGUUAAUUCAGUCCGUUGCGCUGCUUUGAAAAUUUCCACCCUUGACUUGCAAACAAACAAAAACACCAACCUUUAAGCUAAUGCCUUUCCCUGUGUGAAUAUAAUAACUUCUCCCGGUGACAGAAAUUCUGCUGUGAGUAGUGGCAAGCGUUGCUUUGUUGAAGCCUCCUGCAAACCCGCAUUGUUUGAUGUCAUUACACACAGAGAAGCUGAAGCCUGGUGUUGUGCUCCAGCGACUGAAGGAGCAACACAACGCUGCAGAAAUGAGAUGGAGAAAAGGAGAUGCUGAUGACAGUCCAGGCAAUAAUUUUUUUCUGGUUUUUCUAUGGGAUUAAGUGCCCUUUUGGAGUUUUUCUUUCAGCUGUUUCCAGCUUUACUGAUUACCUUCAUUUUCAGACAUCUUACUUUUAAUUUUGAACUAAGCUUCCAACUGCAAAAGGAAUGUGCCACUAUUCAAUUUUUGUUUCUUUUUGGUUGU
RNAcentral lists this long non-coding RNA (584 nucleotides) under Coturnix japonica (Japanese quail). RNAcentral describes it as "lncRNA (ENSCJPG00005018043.1)". Lineage: Eukaryota; Metazoa; Chordata; Aves; Galliformes; Phasianidae. The record is from RNAcentral.